GGUGAACCUGCAGAAGGAUCAUUU
This 24-nucleotide ribosomal RNA is filed under the name Alexandrium catenella. RNAcentral describes it as "partial 18S ribosomal RNA". The record is from RNAcentral. Lineage: Eukaryota; Dinophyceae; Gonyaulacales; Pyrocystaceae.